This 286-nucleotide unclassified non-coding RNA is filed under the name Agroathelia rolfsii. RNAcentral describes it as "Athelia rolfsii partial internal transcribed spacer region". The stretch from base 1 to 46 matches the Rfam family "Eukaryotic small subunit ribosomal RNA", at positions 1786 to 1831 of the family's 1831-position model. The record is from RNAcentral. Lineage: Eukaryota; Fungi; Basidiomycota; Agaricomycetes; Amylocorticiales; Amylocorticiaceae.
AAGUCGUAACAAGGUUUCCGUAGGUGAACCUGCGGAAGGAUCAUUAUUGAAUUCAUAUAUGCAAAGGAGUUGUGCUGGUAAUAAAUAUUGCAUGUGCACACUCUGAAGCUAUAUAAUAUAUACACCUGUGAACCAACUGUAGUCUGGAGAAAUCCUGACUAUGAUUACUCUAUAUAACUCUUAUUGUAUGUUACAUAGAACGAUCUCAUAUUGAAGCUUUGUUUUUUUUACAAGUUUCUCUUAAUUGAAAAAUACACAACUUUCAACAACGGAUCUCUUGGCUCUU